UAAGCGGAGGAAAAGAAACUAACAAGGAUUCCCCUAGUAGCGGCGAGCGAAGCGGGAAAAGCUCAAAUUUGUAAUCUGGCGUCUUCGACGUCCGAGUUGUAAUCUCGAGAAGUGUUUUCCGUGAUAGACCGCAUACAAGUCUCUUGGAACAGAGCGUCAUAGUGGUGAGAACCCAGUACACGAUGCGGAUGCCUAUUACUUUGUGAUACACUUUCGAAGAGUCGAGUUGUUUGGGAAUGCAGCUCAAAUUGGGUGGUAAAUUCCAUCUAAAGCUAAAUAUUGGCGAGAGACCGAUAGCGAACAAGUACCGUGAGGGAAAGAUGAAAAGCACUUUGGAAAGAGAGUUAACAGUACGUGAAAUUGUUGGAAGGGAAACACAUGCAGUGAUACUUGCUAUUCGGGGCAACUCGAUUGGCAGGCCCGCAUCAGUUUUUCGGGGCGGAAAAUCGUAGAGAGAAGGUAGCAGUUUCGGCUGUGUUAUAGCUCUUUACUGGAUUCGCCCUGGGGGACUGAGGAACGCAGCGUGCUUUUAGCAUGAGCUUCGGCUUAUCCACG
Molecule: ribosomal RNA, 555 nt
Filed under: Sporobolomyces pararoseus
Lineage: Eukaryota; Fungi; Basidiomycota; Microbotryomycetes; Sporidiobolales; Sporidiobolaceae
Description: Sporidiobolus pararoseus partial large subunit ribosomal RNA
Rfam family: Eukaryotic large subunit ribosomal RNA
Source: RNAcentral